AUUGAACGCUGGCGGCAUGCCUUACACAUGCAAGUCGAACGGCAGCACGGGAGCUUGCUCCUGGUGGCGAGUGGCGAACGGGUGAGUAAUGCAUCGGAACGUACCCGGAAGUGGGGGAUAACGUAGCGAAAGUUACGCUAAUACCGCAUAUUCUGUGAGCAGGAAAGAGGGGGAUCGCAAGACCUCUCGCUUUCGGAGCGGCCGAUGUCGGAUUAGCUAGGUGGUGGGGUAAAGGCCUACCACGGCGACGAUCCGUAGCGGGUCUGAGAGGAUGAGCCGCCACACUGGAACUGAGACACGGUCCAGACUACUACGGGAGGCAGCAGUGGGGAAUUUUGGACAAUGGGCGAAAGCCUGAUCCAGACAUGCCGCGUGAGUGAAGAAGGCCUUCGGGUUGUAAAGCUCUUUCGGCUGAAAAGAAAUCGCACAGGCUAAUACCCUGUGUGGAUGACGGUAUCAGCAUAAGAAGCACCGGCUAACUACGUGCCAGCAGCCGCGGUAA
RNAcentral lists this ribosomal RNA (502 nucleotides) under uncultured bacterium. Its description in RNAcentral is "partial 16S ribosomal RNA". It matches the Rfam family "Bacterial small subunit ribosomal RNA", at positions 30 to 523 of the family's 1533-position model. The record is from RNAcentral.